RNAcentral lists this ribosomal RNA (450 nucleotides) under uncultured bacterium. Its description in RNAcentral is "bacterial SSU rRNA". It matches the Rfam family "Bacterial small subunit ribosomal RNA", at positions 29 to 524 of the family's 1533-position model. The record is from RNAcentral.
AACGAACGCUGGCGGCAGGCCUAACACAUGCAAGUCGAACGCCGUAGCAAUACGGAGUGGCAGACGGGUGAGUAACACGUGGGAACGUACCCUUCGGUUCGGGAUAAGCCAGGGAAACUUGGUCUAAUACCGGAUACGUCCGCAAGGAGAAAGAUUCAUUGCCGAAGGAUCGGCCCGCGUCCGAUUAGCUAGUUGGUGAGGUAAUGGCUCACCAAGGCGACGAUCGGUAGCUGGUCUGAGAGGAUGAUCAGCCACACUGGGACUGAGACACGGCCCAGACUCCUACGGGAGGCAGCAGUGGGGAAUAUUGGACAAUGGGCGCAAGCCUGAUCCAGCCAUGCCGCGUGAGUGAUGAAGGCCCUAGGGUUGUAAAGCUCUUUCGCCAGGGACGAUAAUGACGGUACCUGGAGAAGAAGCCCCGGCUAACUUCGUGCCAGCAGCCGCUGUAAC